This 504-nucleotide ribosomal RNA is filed under the name uncultured bacterium. RNAcentral describes it as "partial 16S ribosomal RNA". It matches the Rfam family "Bacterial small subunit ribosomal RNA", at positions 30 to 523 of the family's 1533-position model. The record is from RNAcentral.
AUUGAACGCUGGCGGCAGGCCUAACACAUGCAAGUCGAGCGGUAGCACAGAGAGCUUGCUCUCGGGUGACGAGCGGCGGACGGGUGAGUAAUGUCUGGGAAACUGCCUGAUGGAGGGGGAUAACUACUGGAAACGGUAGCUAAUACCGCAUAAUGUCGCAAGACCUAAGAGGGGGACCUUCGGGCCUCUUGCCAUCAGAUGUGCCCAGAUGGGAUCAGCUAGUAGGUGGGGUAACGGCUCACCUAGGCGACGAUCCCUAGCUGGUCUGAGAGGAUGACCAGCCACACUGGAACUGAGACACGGUCCAGACUCCUACGGGAGGCAGCAGUGGGGAAUAUUGCACAAUGGGCGCAAGCCUGAUGCAGCCAUGCCGCGUGUAUGAAGAAGGCCUUCGGGUUGUAAAGUACUUUCAGCGGGGAGGAAGGUGCUGAGGUUAAUAACCUCAGCAAUUGACGUUACCCGCAGAAGAAGCACCGGCUAACUCCGUGCCAGCCGCCGCAGUAA